RNAcentral lists this ribosomal RNA (468 nucleotides) under uncultured bacterium. RNAcentral's name for it is "partial 16S ribosomal RNA". It matches the Rfam family "Bacterial small subunit ribosomal RNA", at positions 28 to 507 of the family's 1533-position model. The record is from RNAcentral.
GACGAACGCUGGCGGCGUGCUUAACACAUGCAAGUCGAACGGAAAGGCCCUGCUUUUGUGGGGUGCUCGAGUGGCGAACGGGUGAGUAACACGUGAGUAACCUGCCCUUGACUUUGGGGUAACUUCAGGAAACUGGGGCUAAUACCGGAGAUGAUCUCCUGCUGCAUGGUGUUGGUUGGAAAGUUUCGGCGGUUGUGGAUGGUCUCGCUGCUUAUGAGCUUCUUUGUGGGGUAGUUGCUUACCAAGGCUUUGACGGGUAGCCGGCCUGGGAGGGUGAACGGCCACAUUGGGCCUGCGAUAGGGCCCAGACUCGUACGGGAGGCAGCAGUGGGGAAUAUUGCACAAUGGGCGGAAGCCUGAUGCAGAAACGCCGCGUGCGGGAUGACGGCCUUCGGGUUGUAAACCGCUUUCGCAUGUGACGAAGCGUGAGUGACGGUAAUGGGUAAAGAAGCACCGGCUAACUACGUG